Molecule: ribosomal RNA, 233 nt
Filed under: uncultured bacterium
Lineage: Bacteria
Description: partial 16S ribosomal RNA
Rfam family: Bacterial small subunit ribosomal RNA
Source: RNAcentral
CGGGACGGGUGAGUAAUGUUCGGGAAACGUCCCGAUGGAGGGGGGUAACUACUGGAAACGGUAGCUAAUACCGCAUAACGUCGCAAGACCAAAGAGGGGGACCUUCGGGCCUCUUGCCAUCGGAUGUGCCCAGAUGGGAUUAGCUAGUAGGUGGGGUAACGGCUCACCUAGGCGACGAUCCCUAGCUGGUCUGAGAGGAUGACCAGCCACACUGGAACUGAGACACGGUCCAG